GGGACCUGCAUAGAUCUAGGGUUUUUAUGGUUUGAAUACAAAUGGAGAGGAGUCUAGAAGUUCAAGGUGUGUCUCACUCUUCCCUGCUUCAUUUCCAACUCUUCCAUAGGUCCCCCUGUGUCAUCUGCAGUGAACAAACCCAAAACACUUGAGUCUUAAUGGGAAUUAUGCAAUAGGCAUUUAGAGAAAGGAAGUCAGAAGGGGCCAGUGAAUUUUUUCUUGACAUAAGCUAUUGCCUUGCAUUCUGUUCCAGAGAGAUGCAGGGCUGAAUGCCCUCUCCCAGGCCAGCAUUUGUCCAUUCUCCGAAAGCAUUCUGCAGGCCAGUUUGCUUUUAGCUCAGCCAAUGCCAGGGUUUGAUGAUUAACCCAUUUGCCCAGGCAUUAUUGACAGGAUAAGUCCUGGCAUUCAGACAGGUCUGGUGAAGUGACCAGGUACUCUGGCCCAGAAGUUCUCUGUCGGCUCCCCCCGCAGGCUCCAAUUCAGGUACUGUAUGUUAUUCUCUUGUUCCUCUUGCCACUGGCUUUUUCCUUAGUCUUAAGUUCCAAGGAAUUGUUCCCCUGUGUUUUUUUAUUUUGCUGACUUAUUCAAG
This 589-nucleotide long non-coding RNA is filed under the name Pan troglodytes (chimpanzee). RNAcentral's name for it is "long non-coding RNA NONPTRT001305". Lineage: Eukaryota; Metazoa; Chordata; Mammalia; Primates; Hominidae. The record is from RNAcentral.